AGUGAACGCUGGCGGUAGGCCUAACACAUGCAAGUCGAACGGCAGCACAGUAAGAGCUUGCUCUUACGGGUGGCGAGUGGCGGACGAGUGAGGAAUAUAUCGGAAUCUACUUUUUCGUGGGGGAUAACGUAGGGAAACUUAAGCUAAUACCGCAUAUGACCUACGGGUGAAAGCAGGGGAUCUUCGGACCUUGCGCGAUUGAAUGAGCCGAUGUCGGAUUAGCUAGUUGGCGGGGUAAAGGCCAACCAAGGCGAGGAUCCGUAGCUGGUCUGAGAGGAUGAUCAGCCACACUGGAACUGAGACACGGUCCAGACUCCUACGGGAGGCAGCAGUGGGGAAUAUUGGACAAUGGGCGCAAGCCUGAUCCAGCCAUACCGCGUGGGUUAAGAAGGCCUUCGGGUUGUAAAGCCCUUUUGUUGGGAAAGAAAAGCAUCAGGUUAAUACCCCGCUGUUCUGACGGUACCCAAAGAAUAAGCACCGGCUAACUUCGUG
This 492-nucleotide ribosomal RNA is filed under the name uncultured bacterium. RNAcentral describes it as "partial 16S ribosomal RNA". It matches the Rfam family "Bacterial small subunit ribosomal RNA", at positions 29 to 507 of the family's 1533-position model. The record is from RNAcentral.